AGCUAGUUAAAAAAAAGAAGCAUACCUGCUCUCUUUUGGGUUGAAAAUAGAUGGCAGCAGCAGAAGCUAGUGAGAAGAAACACUUAGAAGAACACUGCAACAAUCCAAGUCAGGGUAUUAGACCAGCAUUGCAGCAGCAGAUAUGAUGAAAAGACAUUGUAUAUCAGUUAAAUUUUGAAGGUAUCAUUAGUAGGAUUUUCUACAGUAUUAGAUAUGGAAGAUAACAGAAUGAAAUAAAUGAAGAUUGACUGCUUGGUUUAUGGCCUGGACAAUUAGAAGGAUAGAGCUGACAUUAACUGAGAUGGGGCAAGUUGAGAAAAGACAGGAGUGAAAAUUAGUAGUUAAAAUUUGGACAUGUUACUUUUGACAUGUUUAUUCAAGUAGAAAUUUAGAAUAGUCGGAUGUAUGUUUGGAUUAUUAGAUAGAGGUGAAAGUGGGAGGCAUAAAAUCAGAAAAUUUCAUUCUAUAUCUUAGAUACAGAUAUAGAUAUAGAUAUGUAUAGUCACAUGGAAAAUUGGUAAGAAUAUCGAAGACCUGAAUUUAACUAGAAAAGAAAAAGCCUGGACAACUCUAAAACAGAGAGCGAGAAAAGAAGAGAAAGAACCAGUAAAGAAGACUGGGUAAAGUGAAAGAACAACCAACAGAAUAAAGAAUCCGGGAGGCUAAUUAUGAUACUUGUGCCAAACUGAAAGGAAUGAUCAAUAUCCACCACUGACUAAGAGUGAAUACCUGAAAGUGCUACUUCAGUUCUAUUUAACUGCAUUUUCUUCAGUUAGAUGACAUUUCAUUUGAGAGUAUCACCUUAUCUGUGGGGGAUACAUUUUAUAAGUGGAUGCCUGAAACUGUGGAGAGUACUGAACCCUGUAUAUAUUAUGUUUUUUCCUAUAUGUACCUUCCUAUGGCAAAGUUUAAUUAAUAAAUUAAGCACAAUAAGUGAUAAGCAACAAUAACUAAUGAUAAAAUUGAACAAUUAUAACCAUAUACCGUAACAAAAGUUAUUUGAAUGGUCUCUCUCUCUCAAAAUAUCUUGUUGUUAUUUACUGUGGGUAAUUAAAAUCUCAGAAAGUGAAACCAUGAUUAAGGGGGAACUACUGUAGAACAUUGAUUGUAGAUUCACAGGCUCUGUAUUCACAGAGACUAAUCAGAGAGAGAGAUUUGUAAUUACUUAUUUUCUAUACGACUCUGGGAGAAUAUUAUUUCAACCAUGAUGUUCUCAUUUUUAGAAAAUGUUAUAUUUUGUGUGCCUUUUAGAUUUCAAGUAAUGUAAAACUCACAGCUUGUCCUCUGGCCAUAUGAACUGUCUUAGGAAAAAAUAGGAUUUGUUUUCAUAAAUUAUCUUCUUUUCAUUGAUAAAUGCCCAUCUGUAAAAAUAACUUCUUAAUGUAGGAGGCUGAUCAUUGAAUAUUUACAACAAACAGGCCAUGUAAUCCUAGAAAUUAUGAAUUGAAAAACAACCUUAAAGAUUUUACAAUCCUAACACGAUUCUGAAAAUAAUUGUUUUAAAUUAAUUAAAAACAAUAAUUGUUUUUAUCAUAAAAGUAUGACUACAGUAUAUUUUGAUAUAUGCUUACAUCAUAAAAUUAUUAAAUCUAAUUAACAAAUUCAUCACCUCACAUACUUAUGUUUUUGUUUUUGUGGUGUGAACUUUUACAAGGAUGUGGAUGGAGAUGGGAGAUAUUCAUCAAGGAAUGCAAAAUUUUAUUUAUUCAGGAGUAAUAAUCUUCAGUGGUCUUUUGCCCCGCAUGGUGACUAUAAUAAAUAAUAAACUAUAUAUUCAAAAUUACCAAGAAAGUAAAUUUUAAAUAAAACUGGAGUUUUAACUAGCUUAUCCCUGCUAUAUUGACUUACAUCAUACACUUUACAAUUCCCAUUUACAUCCUGCCCCCACCUAUUUCCUCAGCAUUCCAUUUUAUCUUUGAAUUAUUUGACUAUUUAAAUUAUGUGUUUAAAUCAUAGCCAAAAUUAGAAAUGUUUCAUAUUUUACACCUCUUUUGCAAGCUCAGCAUCAAAAUAAUUGUCACAUGUAGUCUUCCCAUCUCUGAAAUAUCUUCUCAAGAUAUCUGUCUUCAUCUCUAUGGCUACAUCAUAUCUUUUCCUUCAUCUUAUCUUCUCUGGACCACCAGAGCAAUCUUCUAAUCAUGCUACCUCCACUCUUGCUCUACUCCAAGCAAUUUUUCGUACUAAAGAGGGUGAUUUUUCCACAUCACAAAUGUAGUCAUAUUACAAUCUAGAUUAAAAGUCUUCAAGUCACAGCAUUUAAGAACUAUAAACCUGAAGUCAUAAAAACCAGGGUUAGCAUCAUGCACAUUUUGGUGUUAUAUUGGCCUGUAGUUUGAUUGUUUGUUUUUACAUUUAAGUUUAUUUUAUUGAAAGAGUAUAAUUUUUUAAAUCUUUAUUUUAUUAUUAUUGUAAUUGCUUGAAUUUUAUAGCCUUAUUUAUACAUCCUGGAUAAUCUGGCCCUGAAUUCCAGAGGCAUCUCUGCCUCUUUUCCCUCUUGCUGUAUAUUCUAUACAAAGCAAUUGUUUUGUUUUGUCUUUAUGUCUCAGAAGGCCUGUUCCAGCUUUUAAGCCUGAUGUUUGCAGCUGUUUCCCUCACCUUUUUACACCUUUACCUUCUUUUUUGUAUUUUCCUCUAACUAAGUAUUUGUCAUAUCUCAUUUUACAAUUUCCUCCUUAGGGAGGCCUUUCCUGACUCACUAGAUUAGGAUGGAUGAGCCUGCUCUUGACUUACAUAGCACACUUCAUUCCCUAUCAUGAUACUCAUCACAUUUGAUGUAAUUGUUUACCAUGCCCACUAAGCUGUAAAAUACAUAAGGGAAAGACAGAUAUUCUUCUAUUAAGUCACUCAAUAUAUAUUUCUUGAAGAUCAUAAAUAUUUCCUCUUUUUAACACUUUUUCACAUAAAUACAAUUAGAAAAAUCAGAUCAUAAAUAAAACUUGCCUUUUUAACAUAAAUUACAUCUUAUAAAUCUCUAUGUGUCAAUAUUUUUAAUGACUAUCUUUUUGAAAUGCCUUUUUCAAACCAUUUAUAAUUAAUAUUUUUGUACCUUUAUCUUUGCAUUACUUGUCAUUUUAUUCUAAGAGGAUGGAAAGAAAAAAUAUAUAAUUUGAUGAAAGGAAACAAAUAGCAAGAGAUGAAAAAGGUGGACAAGUAGAGAAUGUUAUGUAUUAUAAGCCCAAUUACAUUACUUUUUAAACAUGCUCUUAUUUUUCAACAAUAUUAUUUUAGUUUGCCUUGAUGUACUUUUUUUGUGUUUUUAGAAAUUUGAGAAAUUAAACAAGUACAUACAGAACAAACUAAAAAUUUAAAAUAAAUCUGUAAUGGU
Symphalangus syndactylus (siamang) is the source of this 3325-nucleotide long non-coding RNA. RefSeq lists it as uncharacterized. The record is from RefSeq and is a predicted model, not a curated record. Lineage: Eukaryota; Metazoa; Chordata; Mammalia; Primates; Hylobatidae.